RNAcentral lists this long non-coding RNA (405 nucleotides) under Taeniopygia guttata (zebra finch). Its description in RNAcentral is "lncRNA (ENSTGUG00000026558.1)". Lineage: Eukaryota; Metazoa; Chordata; Aves; Passeriformes; Estrildidae. The record is from RNAcentral.
AAGAAUUAUGGUUUUUCUUUAUCAUUUUACAGGACAGUGGUAAUAAUAUAUGGAUUCUGUUGGAGAUAGAGUGUCGUACAAGUAUUGGAUGAAAUAUUUACCUAGCAAACAGACUUGCUGCUCCAUUUCAAGCAACCUUGUCUUGGUGUUCAGAAUAUCAUCCCAUGAGGCAGUGCUGAGACACAGCUAUUAAGAAGAGUGAGCCCUGCAAAGAAGAUUUCCCAACUUUACAGUAAGAUUGAGUGUCUCAGCCCAGACAAUGGGCCCCUGCCUCCAGGAGUGUGCGACUGAAAUAAAUCCACUGACUUGAGCAGCCGCGCUCCAUCCCACGCGACCGGGAGCCGAAGCUGGUUUCUGACACACCAACUUCCAUGGAGCCAGGGAAGAGCGUACAGGUGAGCAGCA